CCUACGGGUGGCAGCAGUAGGGAAUCUUCCACAAUGGACGAAAGUCUGAUGGAGCGACGCCGCGUGAGUGAAGAAGGGUUUCGGCUCGUAAAGCUCUGUUGGUAGGGAAGAAAGUUAGAGGUAGUGACUGGCCUUUAUUUGACGGUAAUUACUUAGAAAGUGACGGCUAACUACGUGCGAGCAGCCGCGGUAAUACGUAGGUGGCAAGCGUUGUCCGGAUUGAUUGGGCGUAAAGGGAGUGCAGGCGGUUCAAUAAGUCUGAUGUGAAAGCCCUCGGCUCAACCGGAGAAUUGCAUCAGAAACUGUGGAACUUGAGUGCAGAAGAGGAGAGCGGAACUCCAUGUGUAGCGGUGGAAUGCGUAGAUAUAGGGAAGAACACCAGUGGCGAAGGCGGCUUUCUGGUCUGCAACUGACGCUGAGGCUCGAAAGCAUGGGGAGCGAACAGGAUUAGAUACCCGAGUAGUC
Molecule: ribosomal RNA, 465 nt
Filed under: uncultured bacterium
Lineage: Bacteria
Description: partial 16S ribosomal RNA
Rfam family: Bacterial small subunit ribosomal RNA
Source: RNAcentral